RNAcentral lists this ribosomal RNA (460 nucleotides) under uncultured bacterium. Its description in RNAcentral is "partial 16S ribosomal RNA". It matches the Rfam family "Bacterial small subunit ribosomal RNA", at positions 338 to 795 of the family's 1533-position model. The record is from RNAcentral.
CCUACGGGGGGCAGCAGUGAGGAAUAUUGGUCAAUGGGCGGGAGCCUGAACCAGCCAAGUCGCGUGAGGGAAGACGGUCCUAAGGAUUGUAAACCUCUUUAGGCGGGGAGCAAUGCCGGGCACGCGUGCCCGGAGGGAGAGUACCCGCAGAAUAAGCAUAGGCUAACUCCGUGCCAGCAGCCGGGGUAAUACGGAGGAUGCGAGCGUUAUCCGGAUUUAUUGGGUUAAAAGGGUGCGUAGGCGGAUUUUUAAGUCAGCGGGAAAAUGGCCGGGCUCAACCCGGGCCGGCCGUUGAAACUGGGGAGCUUGAGUGGGCGGGAAGUAUGCGGAAUGCGUGGUGUAGCGGUGAAAUGCAUAGAUAUCACGCAGAACUCCGAUUGCGAAGGCAGCAUACCGGCGCCCGACUGACGCUGAGGCACGAAAGCGUGGGGAUCGAACAGGAUUAGAUACCCGAGUAGUC